CGGCGGACGGGUGAGUAACGCGUGGGUAACCUGCCUCAUACAGGGGGAUAACAGUUAGAAAUGACUGCUAAUACCGCAUAAGACCACGGUACCGCAUGGUACAGUGGUAAAAACUCCGGUGGUAUGAGAUGGACCCGCGUCUGAUUAGGUAGUUGGUGGGGUAACGGCCUACCAAGCCGACGAUCAGUAGCCGACCUGAGAGGGUGACCGGCUACACUGGGACUGAGACACGGCCCAG
This 238-nucleotide ribosomal RNA is filed under the name uncultured bacterium. RNAcentral describes it as "partial 16S ribosomal RNA". It matches the Rfam family "Bacterial small subunit ribosomal RNA", at positions 96 to 334 of the family's 1533-position model. The record is from RNAcentral.